AUAGUACUCCCUCCGUCCGAAAAAACUUGUCAUCAAAAUGAAUAAAAAGAGACGUAUCUAGAACUAAAAUACAUCUAGAUACAUCCUAUUUUUAUCCAUUUUGAUGACAAGUAUUUCCGGAUGGAGGGAGUACUUC
Molecule: non-coding RNA, 136 nt
Organism: Triticum aestivum (bread wheat)
Lineage: Eukaryota; Viridiplantae; Streptophyta; Magnoliopsida; Poales; Poaceae
Source: Rfam